GCUGGGUGUGGUGAUGCACUCCUGUAAUUCCAGCUACUUGGGAGACUGAGGCAGGAGAAAUACAAAUUUGAGACAAGCCUGAGCAACUUAGUAAGACCCUGUUUCAA
Molecule: small RNA, 107 nt
Filed under: Marmota monax (woodchuck)
Lineage: Eukaryota; Metazoa; Chordata; Mammalia; Rodentia; Sciuridae
Source: RNAcentral